RNAcentral lists this ribosomal RNA (656 nucleotides) under uncultured Mycoplasma sp. Its description in RNAcentral is "bacterial SSU rRNA". It matches the Rfam family "Bacterial small subunit ribosomal RNA", at positions 577 to 1258 of the family's 1533-position model. Lineage: Bacteria; Bacillati; Mycoplasmatota; Mollicutes; Mycoplasmatales; Mycoplasmataceae. The record is from RNAcentral.
GGAUUGAUAAGUUCUGUGUUAAAAGCAGCUGCUCAACAGUUGUUUGCACCGAAUACUGUCAGUCUAGAAUGUGGUAGGGAGUUUCGGAAUUAAAUAUGGAGCGGUGGAAUGUGUAGAUAUAUUUAAGAACACCAGAAGCGAAGGCGGAAACUCAGGCCAUUAUUGACGCUUAGGCUUGAAAGUGUGGGGAGCAAAUGGGAUUAGAUACCCCAGUAGUCCACACCGUAAACGAUGGGUAUUAGAUGUCGGGGCUUGAGCUUCGGCGUUGUAGCUUACGUGUUAAAUACCCCGCCUGGGUAGUACAUAUGCAAAUAUGAAACUCAAAGGAAUUGACGGGGACCUGAACAAGUGGUGGAACAUGUUGCUUAAUUCGAUAAUACACGAAAAACCUUACCAAGGUUUGACAUCCCCCGCGAAGCCAUGGAAACAUGGUGGAGGUUAUCGGGGUGACAGGUGGUGCAUGGUUGUCGUCAGCUCGUGUCGUGAGAUGUUUGGUUAAGUCCCGCAACGAGCGCAACCCUACUCUUUAGUUGUCUAUUCUAGAGAGACUGAACAGUAAUGUAUAGGAAGGUUGGGAUCACGUCAAAUCAUCAUGCCCCUUAUGCCUUGGGCUGCAAACGUGUUACAAUGGCGAGUACAAUGUGCAGCAAACUAGC